RNAcentral lists this long non-coding RNA (1486 nucleotides) under Lonchura striata (white-rumped munia). RNAcentral's name for it is "domestica (Bengalese finch) lncRNA (ENSLSDG00000008824.1)". Lineage: Eukaryota; Metazoa; Chordata; Aves; Passeriformes; Estrildidae. The record is from RNAcentral.
AACCCACAUCACAAUCAAGGCUUCAUGAAUAAUUUAUUCCAUUUGAAUUUUUUUUCUUUUUUUAAAAAGUAUAAACCUUUUUUUGUUUUGUGGUUUUUUUUUUUUUUUUUUUUUUUUUUUUUUUUUUUUUUUUUUUUUUUUUUUUUUUUUUUUUUUUAAUUUUUUGUUUUUUUUUGGUUUUUUCUUCUUCAUUUCCUCGAUCACAAUUUGUACAACUCAGUGUUUAUGGCAUUCGGCAGAAAUAGUGUUUGUUCCUUAAAUCCGCUUUUUCUUUUCUGUGUUUUGUCACGAUGAAAUGCGAGGCUCCCUGGCACAUCCAGCCGUGCCCGAGGGGUGCUGGAACAGCUCCGGGACCUGUCCGGCGAGGCAUUGGAACAGCUCCGGGACCUGUCCGGCGAGAUGUUGGAGCAGCUCCUCGGUGGUGCUGGAACAGCUCCAGGACCUGUCCAGUGAGACAUUGGAGCAGCUCCUCGGUGGUGCUGGAACAGCUCUGGGACCUGUCCGGCGAGGCGUUGGAGCAGCUCCGGGACCUGUCCGGCGAGACGUUGGAGCAGCUGCGGGACCUGUCCAGCGAGAUGUUGGAGCAGCUCCUCGGUGGUGCUGGAACAGCUCCGGGACCUGUCCGGCGAGGUGUUGGAGCAGCUCCUCGGUGGUGCUGGAACAGCUCCGGGACCUGUCCGGCGAGGCGUUGGAGCAGCUCCGGGACCUGUCCAGCGAGACGUUGGAGCAGCUCCUCGAUGGUGCUGGAACAGCUCCGGGACCUGUCCGGCGAGGCGUUGGAGCAGCUCUGGGACCUGUCCGGCGAGGCGUUGGAGCAGCUCUGGGACCUGUCCAGCGAGGCGUUGGAGCAGCUCCUCGAUGGUGCUGGAACAGCUCCGGGACCUGUCCGGAGAGGCGUUGGAGCAGCUCCGGGACCUGUCCAGCGAGAUGUUGGAGCAGCUCCUCGGUGGUGCUGGAACAGCUCCGGGACCUGUCCAGUGAGACGUUGGAGCAGCUCCUCGGUGGUGCUGGAGCAGCUCCAGGACCUGUCCAGCGAGGCGUUGGAGCAGCUCCUCGGUGUGUCCGGCCGCGGUGUUGGGACUCCCCGUGUGUCCGGCCGUGCCGGUGCGGUGCCGGAGCGGCUCCGGGCGUGUCCAGCCGUGCCGCGGGAGCAGCUCCGAGGUGUGUCCAGCCGUGCCCGAGGGCCGCCGUGUCCAGUCACGAGGCCACAAGGCUGCAGCAGCCCCAGGCAGCGCUCGGCAAGGUCCUCACGUCCAGUUGACUCGGAAAAAACCUAAAGCUCGAUGAGUAGCAUCCUGAAAAAGUGACCCUGAGGAUUGUGGUAGGUCCCAAAUCCAGUUUUACUGUAAAUUAAGCUUUACUCCGCUGAAAAGAAAAAGUACACCCACAAAUAAUAGUAAAAAAACCCUUUAAGAACGAAGCGUAGUCCUGGGCCCUUUACUUUAAAAAAAUGAAAAAAAAAAAAUAAAUAAAACAAACAAAACCA